This is a long non-coding RNA of Artibeus jamaicensis (Jamaican fruit-eating bat), 4192 nucleotides long. RefSeq lists it as uncharacterized. The transcript has 2 exons. NCBI's taxonomy places the organism in Eukaryota, Metazoa, Chordata, Mammalia, Chiroptera, Phyllostomidae. The record is from RefSeq and is a predicted model, not a curated record.
GAGAGGAGCCACAUUGGAGAGGCUGGGGAGCCUCGCUCACAUCUGGACUUGAUCAGGUGAUGAGGUCCUGGACUCAAAACCAUGACGAGAUUUUGGAGGGAGCAGAAAUUUGUCCAGAGCAACGUCCAGCCUGGGCCUGUGCCACAGGCGACACAAAGGACCACAAACAGUCUGCCAUCUGAGUCUGGCUCAGAAGAUUUUUAGCUGACUUCUAACGUGGCAAGAGCCACGGGAACAGAGAGGACUCUGGCAACAGGACAGCUGCCUCUCUGCAGGGCUUCGGCAUCUCCCGGAGUCUGGAGAUUUUCAGCCCACCUCACAGCUACUGGGACUCUCACCUGUCAUCCCAGGGAAGGGCCCAUCUCCCGCACAGCGCGGGGCGCAGCUGGUCACUAGCUCUACAGUGCUCCCCCAGCUGAGCUCCCGCAGCAGCUCAGUGGUAGCGAAGGGAAAGCUCAGACCAGAAGGCUGCAGAUGUUUCUGGACCUAAGAGACACGGAGCCACGUCUACUGGUAGUUUCUGAGGAAAGUGCACAGGAGAAAAACGAGCUAAAAUACUGAAAAUGACUCAAUGUGGUUGAUUCAACUCCUUCGCAGUUAUAAAAGCCAGGUGUAAGCGAGUGUAAUUAUAAUUCUACCAGACGGCAAGCCAUUUACAUGGCUGUGCACUUUCAAGUUUGUUUGCGUCUUUUUGCCUGGUUUUUGCUUGGCUAAGACCAAGAGAAGACGGACAGUUCUGCAGGGUUUUGACCUAAAUGAAGGCUCUGCUGUAGACAGAGCUUCUGGAGGUUGGGUACAACUCAUGCUGGAGCGUACUGUAUACACAAAGCAGUGCUACCCGACGACUGAAAGAGCAGCUUACAAAAUGGCCCUGCUAACCGCCAUCCCUCCUUUUAUCCUCCUCCUCCCUCCAGCAGGGUGAUGCUGUACACCGCACGGUUAUUUCACUCCUCGUGUGAACCCGGGGCCUAGGGACUUAUCCCUGAGGCCCGCUACCCUCACCGAGAAAUGUGCUCCCUGUCAAGUCUCAUCGCUUCGUUACGGCUCUGCUUUAGGCUCCCAGAGCCAUUUGGCUAGGCAAGACCUCUCUUACGCGUGACUUGGAACAGGCAUCCACGUUGAGUUAUCCUUGCGUUCACACCCAUCUGCUCCAUUUCCAUGUCGUUCUGGCUUGGGCGGUAACUACUGCCCCUUGGUUCAGCCUUGAAUCAUGGCAGUGAGGCCUUACAACUACGCUACGCUGCACCUAAGGAGAUACUAUCAGUCCUUUGUCAGAAAGGCAUGUGCUUAAAGUUAACUUUCCCAAUGCUUGAAGUUUGUUUUUUGUUUUUCCUUCACUGAUAAAUCCCAGUGGGCCCACUGUUUUAAAUCAGUGACAUGCAAAAACUUCCCCAUUUUCCAAUUUACUCUUGCUCUGGUGACUACAUUUUUUUUAAACUCAAAAUCUGGACAUAUUGUCUAACAGAGGUUUUGUUGUUGUUUUGGUUGUGUGUGUUAUUCCCCAAGGCUAACAGCAAACUGGAAGACCUGGCAGGUCCUAGGUACAGUCUUAGAUUGCAAACCAACUGGACAGAAUAUUUACAAUUAAAAGUGUUGGAAAAUCUGGGGACUUCUGGAGGAUGCGUCCAUAUUCAGUGUUCCUACCAUGUAUUCUGUCCUCUCAUUAAUAAGACAUUUGUUUUAAGAGUGUCAAUCUUAGUCCUUCAAGUAGACUAGAAGCUUCUUAGAGACAAAAGGCAGGUCCUACUGACCUCUUACGGAGCUCUGUCCAUGUACGUAGCUAUAUUCAGUUGUUUCAUCAAUUGCAUAGGGAUGAUGGUGCGUUUUUAAGACAGCUGUUUGGGAUUAGGAGCUUGCAAAAGUGGCCCGACAUUGAGGUGACGGCAGACUGAAAAUCAGUGUCCUGCUCCAUCCCUCCAGAGGGUGGUUCAAGUCAGGCCUGGGGUAGAUCUGUGUUGUGAGGGUAUAAUUACCCUGGUCCAGAGGGCCCCAGGUCUUGUCUGGCAGCCUGAGUUAUACCUUUCAGGGCCUUUUGAAAUGCUGACUUGGCUCCUUAGAAAUACAAAACCCAAAACAUCAUUUGUAAAGGUCACGGGGAAUGGCCUGGGUCAGAAUAACUGGAGUUGCUCUCUGCCAGUGCCUAGGAAGAGGAAGUUGCUGAGUAGGGAGAUAACGCUCCUUGGGAGCUCCGCGCUGCCAAACCCAGACAAAGAGCAGGAGAGGUUUACAGCCGAGUUUUUACUCUUCGAUUCAAAUGCCAAUCCAGCAAUGAAACUGGUUCUAGGAAUUCCAGUCAGAUUUUUAUCAUCUGACUUGGAAACCAGCUGUGCUCUUAGUGAGUACAAAGAUUUACUACCUGCAAUUGCUAUAAUUCAGUCAGCAGAAUUAUGCAGAAGUGAAAAAUUUGAGGAAAACUCCUUAUUUUAAAUGCAACACAAACCGUGUUUUAAGGAAUUCUUCUUCUCUGACACUGAUAAAAAUGGCUCUAUUUUAAAGAAAGGAGUAGGGAGUCCAAGUAGAAGAACUCUUAAACUCGGGAAUUCAGUUUAUUCUUGAGUAUGCUUUUUAAAAAUCCUGAGUAAAAAUUACAACGAUUUGGUAAAGACCAUAUUUACACAGAGCAGGUGAGAAAACACAAAGUAGUUAACUCCUCAAUUUCAGAGCACAUCGGGAGCCCGGCCAACCUCACUGUCCAACUCCCUGAGACCUGGAAGAGAGCAGGAAUUUAACUCUAAGGUCAGCUCUGCAAAGUGGCCCAAUAAACUCAUGGCAGCCAUUCUGAACCAAUAAUUUCCUUCGCAGAAACGAACAAUUACUGUGGAUUUGUGAAUCCAUAUAUCAAAAGUCUCUUGGAUGUAUUUUAUGAUUUUAAAAGCCAUCAGGGCUGUCCUGGAGAAGCCAGUGCAUAUGGUCCUCAUACCACGGCGCCCCAGGUCUCCUGCACUGGCUCGUGCUCCUCUCACACGUGGGCUACAGCUGCCUCGUGCAAAACUGAUGCAAUAGAACCCCGUCACUUGUAUCAUCACCUGCGCCUGCGGAUACCACCCUGGGAAAGCCGAGCAAGGUAAGUUUUCCAGAAUAAGGGUUUCAAUGGCCCACGGACCAACCGAUGUGAAAGCAUUUCCCACGCAGAAACACAACCCCUGGAUGGGUUCUACGGCAGCAUUUUCAAGAGGGAAGAGAUACAUCGAGAGUUUAGAACUGCACUUGUUUGUUGAUUUAUUAACGAUGGCCACUCUGACAGGUGUGAGGUAAUAUCUCACUGUGGUUUUAAUUUGCAUCUCUCUGAUGGCUAGUGAUGUUGCGCAUCCUUUCAUAUGUCUGUGGGCCCUCUGGAUGUCCUCCUUGCAGAAGUGUCUGUUCAGAUCCUUUGCCCAUUUUUUAAUUGGGUUGUUUGUCUUCCUGGUGAUGAGUCAUGAGUUCUUUAUAUAUUUUGGAGAUCAAACCUUUGUCCGAUGCAUCAUUGGUUGGUUCCCUUUUCUUUUUGAUGAACCCCAGUGCACUGUUGGUGGCAAUGCAGAAUGGUGCAGCCACUGUGAAAAAGUUAAGGAAUUUCCUUGAAAAACUAAAAAUGGAACUGCCUUUUGAACCAGUCAUUCCACUGCUGGGAAUAUACCCUAACAAUCCCAAAGCACCAAUUCGAAAGAACUUAUGCACCCCUAUGUUCGCAGCAGUGUUCUUUACAACUGCCAAGUGCUGGAACCAGCCCAAGUGCCCAUCAGUAAAUGAGUGGAUCAAAAACUGUGGUUCAUCUGCACAAUGGAAUAUUACGCAGCAAAAGAAAUUUUGCAACAGCGUGGAUGGAACUGGAGAUUAUGCUAAGUGAAGUCAGUUGGUGAAAAACAAAUACCAUAUGAUCUCACCUAUAAGAGGAAUCUGAUGAACAAAAUAAACUAACGAACAAAAUAGAACCAGAGAUGGAAACAUGGAACAGGCAGGAGGGGAAUAAUGGUAGGAAGAAGGGGAAGGGGAAAAAAAGUAGCUGAGAUUUGCUUUGAUAAAAAAAAAAAGUUUAGAACUAUGACUUUACUAUUAAGUUUACAGUGAGCUGGUCAGCCAAGGUCAUGUAAUUGGAAUCUCUACUUCAAAUUCCUCGUGUGGAGGUGAUUACUUUAGAUGAUCUUCGAGGUUCCAUCCACCGUCACUUAUGUCCUGGUUCUCACUUCCCCAUACACCUAUGUGGUAACUUUUU